CGAGCGCACCUUCGGGUGAGCGGCGGACGGGUUAGUAACGCGUGGGAAUAUGCCCUUCUCUACGGAAUAGCCUCGGGAAACUGAGAGUAAUACCGUAUACGCCCUUCGGGGGAAAGAUUUAUCGGAGAAGGAUUAGCCCGCGUUGGAUUAGGUAGUUGGUGGGGUAAUGGCCUACCAAGCCGACGAUCCAUAGCUGGUUUGAGAGGAUGAUCAGCAACACUGGGACUGAGACACGGCCCAG
Molecule: ribosomal RNA, 241 nt
Filed under: uncultured bacterium
Lineage: Bacteria
Description: partial 16S ribosomal RNA
Rfam family: Bacterial small subunit ribosomal RNA
Source: RNAcentral